RNAcentral lists this unclassified non-coding RNA (221 nucleotides) under Hevea brasiliensis (rubber tree). The record is from RNAcentral. Lineage: Eukaryota; Viridiplantae; Streptophyta; Magnoliopsida; Malpighiales; Euphorbiaceae.
UGGUGUAGGGUCGGCCGGGUUCCAGGAGGAUUGCAUGGAGAGGCUUGCCGGUCGGUGAAAUCAAAGGGACGUUGAAAAAUUGGAGAUGAAUUAGUGCCGAUUUGGUUAUGAGUUUAGGUUUUUUCCUGCUGCGAAGUGAAGUUGAGAUGGGUAAUAAGGGAUCAUCCUCCUUCUUCUGAGGUCCUCCAGUUCUCUUGUUAUUGCUGUUAGUAGAAGGAAAU